UUCUCCCUCUCUCAACCAAAUCGCCCCCAAAUCCGCCUCGCCUCAUUCCGCCUUGCCGACGGCGCUGAACAAAUCCCGCCUCGCCGCAAAUCCAACUGGUGCUCUCGGGAGGGGUUCGGCGUCGCGAGGGGUCUGCGCGUCGAAUUGCUCUCGCGCGUAGCACGGUGGCCGCGGGGAGCGGCUCGCGACGCGAGUUCCACGACCAUGCAGAGCGGCAGUUGCGGGGGAAGGAGGCGAAGUGCGGUGGGCCUCGUCUGGGGCGGCGGGAAGGAAGUAGGCGGUUCAUCGUCGCGCGAACCAAGGUAAAAAGAUGACUGAACCAAGCAAAAAGCGUGAUCAAUUGCAGUCAGCAGUGUCGCAGCUUGAAGGGGGUCACCCUGCCACUUCUGAAGCUACACUGGAGGAACCUAUAUCACAGGACCAAGGUGUUUCAACAACAGUUGUUUACAAGCGCCAGCGCCGAAAGAUGAUGUCAAACCGGGGGAAGCGGCCUACGGAUAUUGCUACCUCUUGAGCACUGCGUUGGUUUUCCCUUGAAGAGGAAAGGGUGAUGCAGUAAAGUAGCGUAAGUAUUUUCCUCAGUUUUUGAGAACCAAUGUAUCAAUCCAGUAGGAGAUCACGCACAAGUCCC
Long non-coding RNA from Aegilops tauschii subsp. strangulata, 631 nucleotides. RefSeq lists it as uncharacterized. NCBI's taxonomy places the organism in Eukaryota, Viridiplantae, Streptophyta, Magnoliopsida, Poales, Poaceae. The record is from RefSeq and is a predicted model, not a curated record.